This 72-nucleotide transfer RNA is filed under the name Ictidomys tridecemlineatus (thirteen-lined ground squirrel). Its description in RNAcentral is "Spermophilus tridecemlineatus (thirteen-lined ground squirrel) tRNA". It matches the Rfam family "tRNA". Rfam says of the family: Transfer RNA (tRNA) molecules are approximately 80 nucleotides in length. Their secondary structure includes four short double-helical elements and three loops (D, anti-codon, and T loops). Lineage: Eukaryota; Metazoa; Chordata; Mammalia; Rodentia; Sciuridae. The record is from Rfam by way of RNAcentral.
AGGGUUGUAGCUCAGUGGUAGAGUGCUUGCCUAACAUGCACGAGGCCCUGGGUUCAAUCCCCAGCACCACAA